This 1410-nucleotide ribosomal RNA is filed under the name Salmonella enterica. RNAcentral's name for it is "partial 23S ribosomal RNA". It matches the Rfam family "Bacterial large subunit ribosomal RNA", at positions 1409 to 2802 of the family's 2925-position model. Lineage: Bacteria; Pseudomonadati; Pseudomonadota; Gammaproteobacteria; Enterobacterales; Enterobacteriaceae. The record is from RNAcentral.
GCGUAGUCGAUGGGAAACGGGUUAAUAUUCCCGUACUUGGUGUUACUGCGAAGGGGGGACGGAGAAGGCUAUGUUGGCCGGGCGACGGUUGUCCCGGUUUAAGCGUGUAGGUGUGUGUUCCAGGUAAAUCCGGUUCACUUUAACACUGAGGCGUGACGACGAGGCACUACGGUGCUGAAGCAACAAAUGCCCUGCUUCCAGGAAAAGCCUCUAAGCAUCAGGUAACAUCAAAUCGUACCCCAAACCGACACAGGUGGUCAGGUAGAGAAUACCAAGGCGCUUGAGAGAACUCGGGUGAAGGAACUAGGCAAAAUGGUGCCGUAACUUCGGGAGAAGGCACGCUGACACGUAGGUGAAGUGAUUUACUCAUGGAGCUGAAGUCAGUCGAAGAUACCAGCUGGCUGCAACUGUUUAUUAAAAACACAGCACUGUGCAAACACGAAAGUGGACGUAUACGGUGUGACGCCUGCCCGGUGCCGGAAGGUUAAUUGAUGGGGUCAGCGCAAGCGAAGCUCCUGAUCGAAGCCCCGGUAAACGGCGGCCGUAACUAUAACGGUCCUAAGGUAGCGAAAUUCCUUGUCGGGUAAGUUCCGACCUGCACGAAUGGCGUAAUGAUGGCCAGGCUGUCUCCACCCGAGACUCAGUGAAAUUGAACUCGCUGUGAAGAUGCAGUGUACCCGCGGCAAGACGGAAAGACCCCGUGAACCUUUACUAUAGCUUGACACUGAACAUUGAGCCUUGAUGUGUAGGAUAGGUGGGAGGCUUUGAAGUGUGGACGCCAGUCUGCAUGGAGCCGACCUUGAAAUACCACCCUUUAAUGUUUGAUGUUCUAACGUGGACCCGUUACCCGGGUUGCGGACAGUGUCUGGUGGGUAGUUUGACUGGGGCGGUCUCCUCCUAAAGAGUAACGGAGGAGCACGAAGGUUGGCUAAUCCUGGUCGGACAUCAGGAGGUUAGUGCAAUGGCAUAAGCCAGCUUGACUGCGAGCGUGACGGCGCGAGCAGGUGCGAAAGCAGGUCAUAGUGAUCCGGUGGUUCUGAAUGGAAGGGCCAUCGCUCAACGGAUAAAAGGUACUCCGGGGAUAACAGGCUGAUACCGCCCAAGAGUUCAUAUCGACGGCGGUGUUUGGCACCUCGAUGUCGGCUCAUCACAUCCUGGGGCUGAAGUAGGUCCCAAGGGUAUGGCUGUUCGCCAUUUAAAGUGGUACGCGAGCUGGGUUUAGAACGUCGUGAGACAGUUCGGUCCCUAUCUGCCGUGGGCGCUGGAGAACUGAGGGGGGCUGCUCCUAGUACGAGAGGACCGGAGUGGACGCAUCACUGGUGUUCGGGUUGUCAUGCCAAUGGCACUGCCCGGUAGCUAAAUGCGGAAGAGAUAAGUGCUGAAAGCAUCUAAGCACGAAACUUGCCCCGA